UGCGUAGACGGUUAUUUAAGUCGGGUGUGAAAGCCCCGGGCUCAACCUGGGAAUUGCAUUCGAGACUGAAUAGCUAGGGUACGGUAGAGGGAAGUGGGAUUUCCGGUGUAGCGGUGAAAUGCGUAGAUAUCGGAAGGAACAUCAGUGGCGAAAGCGACUUCCUGGACCAGUACCGACGUUCAGGCACGAAAGCGUGGGGAGCAAACAGGAUUAGAUACCCUGGUAGUCCACGCCAUAAACGAUGAGGACUAGACGUUGGAGGGGUAAGCCUUUCAGUGUCGUAGCUAACGCGCUAAGUCCUCCGCCUGGGGAGUACGGCCGCAAGGUUGAA
This 331-nucleotide ribosomal RNA is filed under the name uncultured bacterium. Its description in RNAcentral is "bacterial SSU rRNA". It matches the Rfam family "Bacterial small subunit ribosomal RNA", at positions 568 to 898 of the family's 1533-position model. The record is from RNAcentral.